Molecule: ribosomal RNA, 560 nt
Filed under: uncultured bacterium
Lineage: Bacteria
Description: bacterial SSU rRNA
Rfam family: Bacterial small subunit ribosomal RNA
Source: RNAcentral
GAAUCUGCCUGGUAGUGGGGGAUAACGCUCGGAAACGGACGCUAAUACCGCAUACGUCCUACGGGAGAAAGCAGGGGACCUUCGGGCCUUGCGCUAUCAGAUGAGCCUAGGUCGGAUUAGCUAGUUGGUGGGGUAAUGGCUCACCAAGGCGACGAUCCGUAACUGGUCUGAGAGGACGACCAGCCACACUGGGACUGAGACACGGCCCACACUCCUACGGGAGGCAGCUGUGGGGAAUUUUGGACAAUGGGCGCAAGCCUGAUCCAGCAAUGCCGCGUGCAGGAAGAAGGCCUUCGGGUUGUAAACUGCUUUUGUACAGAACGAAACGGCUCUGGUUAAUACCCGGGGCUAAUGACGGUACCGUAAGAAUAAGCACCGGCUAACUACGUGCCAGCAGCCGCGGUAAUACGUAGGGUGCAAGCGUUAAUCGGAAUUACUGGGCGUAAAGCGUGCGCAGGCGGUUAUAUAAGACAGAUGUGAAAUCCCCGGGCUCAACCUGGGAACUGCAUUUGUGACUGUAUAGCUAGAGUACGGCAGAGGGGGAUGGAAUUCCGCGUGUA